Molecule: ribosomal RNA, 164 nt
Filed under: uncultured Acinetobacter sp.
Lineage: Bacteria; Pseudomonadati; Pseudomonadota; Gammaproteobacteria; Moraxellales; Moraxellaceae
Description: partial 16S ribosomal RNA
Rfam family: Bacterial small subunit ribosomal RNA
Source: RNAcentral
AUCAGGGCGAGCCUGAUCCAGCCAUGCCGCGUGUGUGAAGAAGGCCUUUUGGUUGUAAAGCACUUUAAGCGAGGAGGAGGCUACUUGGAUUAAUACUCUAGGAUAGUGGACGUUACUCGCAGAAUAAGCACCGGCUAACUCUGUGCCAGCAGCCGCGGUAAUAC